UGGAAAGCACCAAGUAAAGCAUGAGGCAGUGGGGACUGUGACAAGGGAUCUUUCCUUGGCUUAGGCAGGAACAGGGCCAGGCCAGCACUGUGGGCUUUUCUCCGAGGUGCCUUCCUGUCUGGGGCCCUGGGCACGGGAGCUGGGAUAGGGGUUAGCGGAUUUUUUCCACGCUGUUUCUCCAAGAUCCCUGACAGAGCCCAUCAGGACAGUCUUUUAUCAGCACUGCAUGCUUUAGUGAGUCUGUCAUGACUCACGCACAAUGUGCUCCACGCUGGAUUAAUCCAGCCAGCUUUCAUGCUCAGGAUGUGGCAACGGGACGGGGGGAGAGAGAGACGAGCAGAGAUGGAUGCACGGACUAACAAGAGCUGGAGAGAUCAGAAGCCCAAACCCCUUUGCUUGUCAAAGACAGGAUCUCAAUUUUAGGGUGAUCUGAAGGGGCAAAGAAAGAACAAACCUCGGUCAAUGAGAGAGAGGGGUAAAGAACAACAGCAUAUGCGCAAUGUGCCUCAGGUGGCAUGACCAGGAUUCAUCACCAAAUUUGGUCCGCUGGUUGGAUCAUUAGCUUCCCAGGCCUGGGCCGGCUACUGACUGGGAGCAUGACAUGAAUGUUGAUCCAGGCCCCCCAUGUGAUUGAUAAACAUAGAGCCAACUGAUCCUUGCAGAGUCCCACUGGAAAUACACUUGCUCAAUGACGAUGACCCAUUUACAGUUACAUUUUGAGACCCAACAAUUAGCCCAUUUUUAAUCCAUUUAAUGUGUGUCGUGUUAAUUUGAUAUCAUUCUAGUUUUUUGAUCAAAAUAUCGUGUGGAACCAAGUCAAACGCCGCACAGAGUCUAAGUAUCUUAUGUCAAUACUGUUACCUUUAUCAACCAAACUUGUAACCUGAUCCAAAAAAGAUAUCAAGUUAGUUUGACAGGAUCUAUUUUCCA
Molecule: long non-coding RNA, 930 nt
Organism: Trachemys scripta elegans
Lineage: Eukaryota; Metazoa; Chordata; Testudines; Emydidae
Exons: 3
Source: RefSeq, a predicted model, not a curated record